AGAAUUAUGAGUAUUUUGAUGAUUUAUGAUUUAAAUUAAAAUUAUUUGAGGUUAAGUAUGGAAUGUGAAUAUAUUGAGGAAUUUGAGAAUAUUGGAGUUUAUGAUUAUGGUUUAAUUUUAUUCUUAUGAGAGUAUUUUUAUUUAUUUUUAGGCCGAUGAUGUCGAUGUGCAUUUGUUACUCGAGGAUACCAGGAGGUAAGUAAACUAGAUUUCCAAACUAAUCACAAUAAACACUAUAUUUGUUUGACAUGUUUGGAAAACCUAUUUUUAUAUAUGUACGGAUAUUGAUUUAUAUGUUCUGCCCAUGUGUUUAUACGAUGUGUUGAUAUGAUGUGUUGUUAUGUGUGUUUAUGGACAUGGGCAUACGUAUGUGUGAAUAUUUCAUUGGCAUGAGCACGAAAAUGCAUUAUGUUUUCUGUAAAAUAAGAAAGUUGAUUUUAGAAAACGAAAUUUGAAGAAAGAAAGAUUGUUUUAUAGUUUUGGCUUGGAUGCUUGAAUUCAUUACUGGCUUAGUGGAGGACACUCUAGAUGUUUAUAUAAUUAUGAGAUAAGUGGGCGAAGGACACAUUGGCGAGAAGCCCAAAGAGUAUGAAAGAUUAUAAAAGUUAUGAAGUUAAGGGAGUGUCCUACUAAGCGGUAAUCGAAUGAAGGUAGCUCAAGUAAGUGGUUUGAAAGAGAAUGUAAAAGUUUGAGAAAGACAGAAUGAGAUUUCGAUGAUUUGUUUUACGAUGUUUUCGAAUACUAUGGCACGUCAUUCAUUUGCACUAUAUAUAUGUAUGUAUGUAUUUUGGUAUAUGCAAAACUAGUUUACUUAUUGAGUUUCGUACUCAUUGUAGUUUAUUGUGAUUCAGUUUCCGUAAAUCAGUAUUGAUUUGUGAUAAGCAUCGAGAAGGACUUGAAUGGAGGAAUUAGAUGGUUUGACAUGAAUUUUAAAUUCUUCCGCUGCAGUUUGCAUUAUAUAUUUGUAUUUUCGAGGAUAUAAUUUUCAUAGAUUGUAAAAUAAUUAUUAUUUUUAUUUUUUAAGCAUCUAUCAGUAAUAUAUGCCCUGUAGAGGUCAGGGCGGGUCGU
This 1068-nucleotide long non-coding RNA is filed under the name Citrus x clementina. RNAcentral's name for it is "Citrus clementina (C. clementina) long non-coding RNA (CCLE_LNC002819)". The record is from RNAcentral. Lineage: Eukaryota; Viridiplantae; Streptophyta; Magnoliopsida; Sapindales; Rutaceae.